This 327-nucleotide long non-coding RNA is filed under the name Mytilus galloprovincialis (Mediterranean mussel). Lineage: Eukaryota; Metazoa; Mollusca; Bivalvia; Mytilida; Mytilidae. The record is from RNAcentral.
GUUGUCUUAUUGGCACUCACACCACAUCUUCCUAUAUCUAUCUGAUUAAUGUACCAACAAAUGAACGAAGAAUAGAAAUGAUUUACAGUCACAAAAAGUAAAAUAACAAAAAAUACCGAACUCCGAGGAAAAUUCAAAAUAGAAAGUCGAUAAUCAAAUGGCAAAAUCAAAAGCUCAAAAUACAUCAAACGACCGAGUAUUAACUGCUUUAUUCCUGACUUGGUAAAGGCGUUCUUGAGUAGAAAAUGGUGCAUGAACGCUGGUUUUAUAGCUAGCUAAAUGAGGGACGAAAAAUAUCAAAGGGACAGUCAACUCUCACUUGUACGG